Long non-coding RNA from Limulus polyphemus (Atlantic horseshoe crab), 152 nucleotides. RefSeq lists it as uncharacterized. The record is from RefSeq and is a predicted model, not a curated record. The transcript has 2 exons. Lineage: Eukaryota; Metazoa; Arthropoda; Merostomata; Xiphosura; Limulidae.
UGUCAGUCUAUUUAUUAACGUGUUAGCCACGUUUAUGGGAAGAGACAGAGAAGAGUGAUCUCAGACUUAGUGGGCAGCUCUGUUUAGAUGCAGGCGAGAGAUAUCCUCGUUUGGCAAAGUGCCAUGAGAUGGGUGGUUCACAAGAUUGGAAA